CCUCUACACUCUAGCUGCAGUGAUGCUGAUGCUGCGUCAGAUCAUCUUCAGACCGGAGGAGCGCAGCAGGUACGAGCUCAUGAAGAUUUCUCCUCAUCUGACUGAAGGUGAUCUCAGAUCUGAGUGCUUCUGUGAUUUCUCUGUGCCGUUUGAUGUGUGUGUGUGUGUGUGUGUGUGUAUGUGUGAUGUGUGUGUGUUUUCUCUGACCGGUUCAGUGCUGACAGACAGACUCAGAGGAGACACGGUGACAUACGUGAAUAUUCCCACCAGCCCCACGUCCAAAAAACAGCUGCAUUACAUGGAACUGGAGCUGCAGGAGUCCANCCAGCGCCGCCGUCAGAGGUAAAAGCUCCAGUAAAUACGCUCAGAUUGACAUCACAGCGAUGGAGGCGGCUCACAGAGCGGGUUCCCAGCAUGCACUGGGGAGAGAGGAAGGCCUACAGAGACUGGAGCAGCAGAGGAGACGACAAGGACUUCCUCACACUGAAGAUCGACUCUUCUCUUGACAAACUGACCAAAACACUUGCAUCAGUCGAGACAGUAAAACACAGAAUGUAGUGUAGUGUCUAGUAUAGUGUAGUAGUAUGUAGUGUAGUACAGUGUCAUCAUGUGGAUUCAAUGUGUAGUGGAUGAGUGCACGUGUCAAACACAGCAUAUACACAAACGUUUGAAAUACAGGAAUAUAUAUUCACGUCACAUGCUUAGACCAACCUGUAAAACACACAUUCAGUCUACAGUGAGCCGCUGCUACGUGAAUCUGUUUCUGUAUUCUCAUGUUAGAUAAAUGUGUGCAAUGCACAGAAAUGCAUUUUUAAUUUAUUUUAAUUUAUUUCAUUUUAAAACGCUGAAUAUUAGUUGUAUUGCUUUCGAGUUGCAUCUGUAUUAAAAAGGCUGCAUUUGUGUAGUAGCAUCUUUAGUCUUUUUAUUAACCUAAAUUCAAGUGUAUUGAGUCAUUUUUACAUUACUUAUUUUGUAUUUUGUACAUUACAGGGCUGUAUUUUCUCUUUUUCUUUUCAGCACUGAAGGAAGUGAACACAAUGUGUGUCUUUGUUUGUAUUGGAAAUUGGAAUCAUUUUGUCAUAUAUUGUGAUUGCAGUUUGAACUGCGAUAUGUUAACAUAUACCAAUGCUGUUAGAUAUGUAUAUUAUAUGUAGAUAUAUUAAAACAUAAUUACUUAAAAUGUACUUUAAAGCCUAACCUUUAAUUUGACAUUAUUACAAAGAAAAUGUUCUUUGAAGUGUACUUAAAUAUGUUUAGAAACAUAGUCACUUAAGCUGACUUUUAUUUAAUUAUUUACAUAUUGCUAAACUAUAUCUGACCCACAUGAAACUCAUAAUAAAAUACAAUAUAUAUAUAUAUAUAUAUAUAUA
Molecule: long non-coding RNA, 1370 nt
Organism: Cyprinus carpio (common carp)
Lineage: Eukaryota; Metazoa; Chordata; Actinopteri; Cypriniformes; Cyprinidae
Source: Ensembl